Molecule: non-coding RNA, 27 nt
Filed under: Rattus norvegicus (Norway rat)
Lineage: Eukaryota; Metazoa; Chordata; Mammalia; Rodentia; Muridae
Source: RNAcentral
UGGGGAUGUCAUGUCUAAAACAGCCUG